CACGUAGGGCGCGAGCGUUGUCCGGAAUUAUUGGGCGUAAAGAGCUCGUAGGCGGCCUGUUGCGUCCGCUGUGAAAGCCCGGGGCUUAACCCCGGGUCGGCAGUGGAUACGGGCAGGCUAGAGGUAGGUAGGGGAGAAUGGAAUUCCCGGUGUAGCGGUGAAAUGCGCAGAUAUCGGGAGGAACACCCGUGGCGAAGGCGGCUUUCUGGGACGGUACUGACGCUGAGACGCGAAAGCGUGGGGAGCGAACAGG
This 253-nucleotide ribosomal RNA is filed under the name uncultured bacterium. RNAcentral describes it as "partial 16S ribosomal RNA". It matches the Rfam family "Bacterial small subunit ribosomal RNA", at positions 524 to 776 of the family's 1533-position model. The record is from RNAcentral.